GCACAGAGAGCUUUCAGGAAGAUGGCUUGUCAAAAAUCCUUUCUUGCCCAUUCAGGUGAUUCUAGGAAAUAGAGCAAGUCUACUUUGUAGACAUAGUGGUGAGAGAAGGACAUAGAGAUGCCAACUCCUGUUACUCACUUCUCGCCCUGGUUCCAUGGAAGGACACUCCCGGUUCCAGGCCUUCUGUUUUUACCUUACUCUUGGUAGUAGGGAAUUUGAAAGGCAAAUUUCAUUUCCAGAGAACCCAUGGGGCAAUGAGCUAAGGACCGGGUCUCAUGCCCUGUUUGCCUUGCGCUGCUCCUGUCCUGACUUCCUGCUUCCCAAGAUUCAUACAGAAGAAAUGGAGCAUAUUUAGCUUAUUUUUUCUGAAAACCUAGUCAGUGACAGACCCAGUUGGCUCACCACUCAAUUUUGCCUAAAGAGUCAGGAAGUAAGAGAUACUUUGUCAACUUUUCUCUUUAUUGAGUCUUGCUGAACAGUGCUUUUGCUGUGUGAUUAUUGCACAUUUAAAUCCAACUCUACUAAUUACCUGAACCUAACCUCAUGCAAAGAGUUGACUCAUUGGAAAAGACUCUGAUGCUGGGAAGGAUUGGGGGCAGGAGGACAAGGGGAUGACAGAAGAUGAGAUGGCUGGAUGGCAUCGCUGACUCAAUGGACGUGAGUCUGAGUGAACUCCGGGAGUUGGUGAUGGACAGGGAGGCCUGGCGUGCUGCGAUUCAUGGGAUCGCAAAGAGUCGGACACGACUGAGCAACUGAACUGAACUGAAGUAGGGUGUGACUUUUUAACCUAAAUUAAUCAUAUAAUAUUCUUUAGACUAUCUUACACUUUUACAAGCUGAUCUUUGCUGUCUUUUUUCCUUGUUUCUGACAGAUGUCAUGUUUGGGUUCUAUUUUCUCCUUUCCAGUCCUAGGUCUAAUUCGGGCCCAUUAUCUUCAGGAGCCUUUUAAGUUAUCCUCUCAUCCAUCCGAAGGACUCCUACUCAUUCUUCAUGCUGCUGUUGGCAUUAAUCUUCUUAAGAAUUGAAGUUUACUAUUAAUUGCCAAGAAGGACAUAAAAGAGGUGUGGUGGAAGGGUCUGCCAGAACCAGAGGCUAAGCACACAGCAGUGUAAAACAAAUUCUUUAUUCCAGCUUCCAGAAUGCAUCCUCUUCAGCCUUUCCUGUUCAUUGGACUAAAGCUGUUAAGCAAUGGUGUCAAGAACCGUCAUCCACUGGUUGAAGCUCAGUACAAAACCAGGAAGCAGGCGGGUUUAGAUCCAGUAGGAACAACUUGACUCAGAUCUUCGCACUUUCACUAAGGAGGGUCGGGGGUGAGGAGACAACAUUUACAUUUGUACUGAAGCUGAUCUGAUGUGAUUGUGACAGUUUUCCAGUCAGUAUUUGUUUAUCUUAAUUUAGUCGCGUGUUAAAAAUGUGAGGGUCAAAUUUACUUCCUUUCAAGGCCACUUGGCGUACACGUCUUGUAGUCUUUGGAAGGGAUGGCAAGGAAACAGCCAUGCUUUAAUGAUGGGAUUAGAUGUUGAUGAAAGCUAGGUGUAAUAGUAGAAACAUUUUAUUGUAUAUUUUUAUUCCAAAGUAAGUGCAGUGUUAUUAUAUUUAGAUAAAUGUUCAGUGAUAAGCCAGAAAUCUUACACAUACAUUGCUGAAGACAUUUUCCCUCUGGAUUUAAUAAAAUUCUGGUACACAGAGGUACAAAAUGUAAUUCAUAAAUGUAAUGAAAACCCUAGAAAACGCUUCCCGCAUGCUUUCCUUCCCUCCCCUCCCCUCCUGUCCCUUUCCUCCUCUUCUCCAGCCCACUCUCCAGUCUUGCUUGCCUUCAUUGCUGGGGGAAAAAAAAAAAGAGCAGGUGAGCACAUAAUUAGGUUGUCACUUUUAAACUCUGGAUUAGUGGGACAUCCUGGAAGACCUCCCUCAACUGCAGUGCUGAACAAACGACUUUUUCCACCCCCAUCUGCAUGCUCCUACUACUUUUGACUAGAUGUCUUGAGAAUCUGCCAAUAUUUUUAAUUGAUCAAGUGAAAAAUACACAGGAAGUAUGCCUGUUUUUUAAUUUGUUUGUAUAUUUUCUUGAUGCGUUGCAUAAAGACCCAAAGGUGCUUUGGCUUCUGUCUGUCCUCACUGGAACUGUGGUUACUGUGGGGUGUGUGGUACUCCGUAGCACACCAUAAAUCUCCACUAGAUGUCAGCGUGUCACCAAAUGAAACCAGCACUCUCUCCUGACCUGUUACUGAAACAGCUUUUUAAUCAGAAUGCUACAGACAAGUUUUAGUAUACAGGUUAAUAAAUUAUAUUUGUCAAUGAAUAGUAAUAAAAAUAAAAUCUUUAAAAAAUUUAGUACCUUUCAUCUGAGGAUUUCAAAAUGUUUUACUUAUAUUUUGGUUUUUGCCGUAAGAGCCCCAAAGAGAUAGAGUGCAAAUAUUCAUUUUUCAUUUUACAGUAAAGUAAAGCAAGGGGACAAAAUGAUUGGCUCAAGAUCACAUAGACGAUGUCUGAAUAAAUGCAGGCUGGUAUUUCUGCCAUCACAGAAUCUACUCUACCUGUGUACUUAGAUACAGAUGCCCUUUAUUUAUCAUUUAUAUUAACUGCUUUGCCUUAAAAACAAGCUCAAGAAAAAUGGAAUAAUAGUUAACAAUUAUCGAAGAUUAUUGAUACGAUUAGUAUGGGGGUGUUUCAGAUGUAAUUUUAAGUUUUUAUAAAGACUGCACAAAGAAAAUAUGCUGAACAACCUAGAUGAAAACUUUAGAAAAUCAUAGCAAUAUUUUACCUGUGCUGUUUUACAGAUGGUGAACUCAGACCAGUGUGAGCCUUGUCUUAGCUCAUGUGCUCAAGUGCAGGAGGAAAAGCAAUUAUAAUUGGGUCUGGAAGGUUGAAGCUCUUGGGUAUGAUGGGAUUAAUGGACAUAACUGCAUAUUGUAGGUUUUUCACUGUAUAAUUUUCUUUAAGAGGAAUAUACAUAAAAUCCUGUAUAUUAAGACUUAAGUGAUUUUCUCAAAAUUGUAUAAAUACAUAAGUUACAACUGUAAAAGUUAUGUUUGUGGAUAAAGAUUAAAAAUACAUAAAUGGCAAGUUAGGGUGAUGUGACUAUGGGUAAAUUCAAUUUUCUCUUUAUGUGGUAAUAUUGUUUCUACAAUAAAUAAAAAGAGAAAACGGUUUUUAUUGUAAAAAUUCACCACAGUCCCCACUUUAGAUAGGCUUAUUUCCUAUCAGUAGAGGUGCAUUGUAUACAGCUGAAAUUCAAAAGGUAUAGUUGAGUUUAUUUCCUUCAAAUGUUUUAAUCAUAGAAACCAGGGUUAAACCGGCAGAAGUACAUAUUUUCGAACUUUACUGUGUAUUUUAGGUGAAAUAAAUGAUUGCCCAUUCCAGCAGGC
Molecule: long non-coding RNA, 3367 nt
Organism: Bos taurus (domestic cattle)
Lineage: Eukaryota; Metazoa; Chordata; Mammalia; Artiodactyla; Bovidae
Source: Ensembl